RNAcentral lists this ribosomal RNA (229 nucleotides) under uncultured bacterium. Its description in RNAcentral is "partial 16S ribosomal RNA". It matches the Rfam family "Bacterial small subunit ribosomal RNA", at positions 524 to 752 of the family's 1533-position model. The record is from RNAcentral.
UACGUAGGGUGCAAGCGUUAAUCGGAAUUACUGGGCGUAAAGCGUGCGCAGGCGGUGAUGUAAGACAGUUGUGAAAUCCCCGGGCUCAACCUGGGAACUGCAUCUGUGACUGCAUCGCUGGAGUACGGUAGAGGGGGAUGGAAUUCCGCGUGUAGCAGUGAAAUGCGUAGAUAUGCGGAGGAACACCGAUGGCGAAGGCAAUCCCCUGGACCUGUACUGACGCUCAUGC